RNAcentral lists this ribosomal RNA (466 nucleotides) under uncultured Desulfovibrio sp. RNAcentral's name for it is "bacterial SSU rRNA". It matches the Rfam family "Bacterial small subunit ribosomal RNA", at positions 920 to 1382 of the family's 1533-position model. Lineage: Bacteria; Pseudomonadati; Thermodesulfobacteriota; Desulfovibrionia; Desulfovibrionales; Desulfovibrionaceae. The record is from RNAcentral.
CCCGCACAAGCGGUGGAGUAUGUGGUUUAAUUCGACGCAACGCGCAGAACCUUACCUAGACUUGACAUCCCGGGGAUUUUCUGGAAACAGAGAAGUGCUUUAGCAAUAAAGAACCCGGUGACAGGUGCUGCAUGGCUGUCGUCAGCUCGUGUCGUGAGAUGUUGGGUUAAGUCCCGCAACGAGCGCAACCCUCGCCUUUAGUUGCCAGCAUUCAGUUGGGCACUCUAGAGGGACUGCCGGUGUCAAACCGGAGGAAGGUGGGAUGACGUCAAGUCCUCAUGGCCUUUAUGUCUAGGGCUACACACGUACUACAAUGGCCGGUACAAAGGGCAGCCACUCAGCGAUGAGGCGCUAAUCCCAUAAAGCCGGUCUCAGUCCGGAUCGCAGUCUGCAACUCGACUGCGUGAAGUUGGAAUCGCUAGUAAUCGUAGAUCAGCAUGCUACGGUGAAUACGUUCCCGGGCCUU